RNAcentral lists this ribosomal RNA (1371 nucleotides) under uncultured bacterium. RNAcentral's name for it is "bacterial SSU rRNA". It matches the Rfam family "Bacterial small subunit ribosomal RNA", at positions 28 to 1381 of the family's 1533-position model. The record is from RNAcentral.
GAUGAACGCUGGCGGCGUGCCUAAUACAUGCAAGUCGAGCGAACGGACGAGAAGCUUGCUUCUCUGAUGUUAGCGGCGGACGGGUGAGUAACACGUGGAUAACCUACCUAUAAGACUGGGAUAACUUCGGGAAACCGGAGCUAAUACCGGAUAAUAUUUUGAACCGCAUGGUUCAAAAGUGAAAGACGGUCUUGCUGUCACUUAUAGAUGGAUCCGCGCUGCAUUAGCUAGUUGGUAAGGUAACGGCUUACCAAGGCAACGAUGCAUAGCCGACCUGAGAGGGUGAUCGGCCACACUGGAACUGAGACACGGUCCAGACUCCUACGGGAGGCAGCAGUAGGGAAUCUUCCGCAAUGGGCGAAAGCCUGACGGAGCAACGCCGCGUGAGUGAUGAACGUCUUCGGAUCGUAAAACUCUGUUAUUAGGGAAGAACAUAUGUGUAAGUAACUGUGCACAUCUUGACGGUACCUAAUCAGAAAGCCACGGCUAACUACGUGCCAGCAGCCGCGGUAAUACGUAUGAGGCUAGCGUUAUCCGGAAUUAUUGAGCGUAAAGCGCGCGUAGGCGGUUUUUUAGUCUGAUGUGAAAGCCCACGGCUCAACCGUGGAGGGUCAUUGGAAACUGGAAAACUUGAGUGCAGAAGAGGAAAGUGGAACUCCAUGUGUAGCGGUGAAAUGCGCAGAGAUAUGGAGGAACACCAGUGGCGAAGGCGACUUUCUGGUCUGUAACUGACGCUGAUGUGCGAAAGCGUGGGGAUCAAACAGGAUUAGAUACCCUGGUAGUCCACGCCGUAAACGAUGAGUGCUAAGUGUUAGGGGGUUUCCGCCCCUUAGUGCUGCAGCUAACGCAUUAAGCACUCCGCCUGGGGAGUACGACCGCAAGGUUGAAACUCAAAGGAAUUGACGGGGACCCGCACAAGCGGUGGAGCAUGUGGUUUAAUUCGAAGCAACGCGAAGAACCUUACCAAAUCUUGACAUCCUUUGACAACUCUAGAGAUAGAGCCUUCCCCUUCGGGGGACAAAGUGACAGGUGGUGCAUGGUUGUCGUCAGCUCGUGUCGUGAGAUGUUGGGUUAAGUCCCGCAACGAGCGCAACCCUUAAGCUUAGUUGCCAUCAUUAAGUUGGGCACUCUAAGUUGACUGCCGGUGACAAACCGGAGGAAGGUGGGGAUGACGUCAAAUCAUCAUGCCCCUUAUGAUUUGGGCUACACACGUGCUACAAUGGACAAUACAAAGGGCAGCGAAACCGCGAGGUCAAGCAAAUCCCAUAAAGUUGUUCUCAGUUCGGAUUGUAGUCUGCAACUCGACUACAUGAAGCUGGAAUCGCUAGUAAUCGUAGAUCAGCAUGCUACGGUGAAUACGUUCCCGGGUCU